This is a long non-coding RNA of Lytechinus pictus (painted urchin), 506 nucleotides long. RefSeq lists it as uncharacterized. The record is from RefSeq and is a predicted model, not a curated record. The transcript has 3 exons. NCBI's taxonomy places the organism in Eukaryota, Metazoa, Echinodermata, Echinoidea, Temnopleuroida, Toxopneustidae.
ACUGAAAUAUAUUGUACUUUUAUAGAUAAUGUUUAACGUGCAAAAAGUCAUCUUAUUUCAGGAGUGAACAUAUAGAUUGAAUAUGGGGUUCCUCUCCCGUGAAUGAACGGAGGAUUUUACAAAACUACGAUAUAUCAUUCGAGGAAAAUGUUUUGGCAUCCUCCUGUAAGUUAACGAAAUUAUUUUGAUAAAUCUGAAUGUCCAAUGAUCGUGAGUACAGUGUGUGAGCAAGUCAUCAUAAAAUAGACCCUGCACUGCUAUGUGUCCAAUCGAAUCAUGAAGAAGCAACGAGCAUGAUUGGAAAUAAUGAAGGCAAUGGUUCUGACGUCGUAUCUGGAUAUCUUCUUGGUUCUUUAUCUGGUCCCUAUAGGAAGUGCCAGCAGCAUUACUUCUCCACAGCAGACUGAUAUAAAAUGCUGCUCAUGGAUGAUUUACUUAUCAUUGUUCAUAUUAAGCUGUGUGAUCACGUGGUUCGUCUUAACUUUAUUCGUUGUGAGUUUCUACGU